UACGUGUUCUAUUUGACACUACCCAAACGUCUAGCAAAAAAAUUCGGGGUCCAACAAAAUAUCUGGUAACCGAUCGGUUUCCAAAAUUUGGUUGACCAAUAAAAAUACAUUUGAUUCUAAUACACAACAUAUAACCACAAAUCUAUUUUAACAGUGAAGAAGUAAUAUAUAGCUUGAAUGACCAACUGGGCAUGCUUUAAUCUCUAAAUUUAAACCCUAAUAAGUCUAUCAAUCUUCAAAAGUUAGCGAUCUCACCUAUCACAAAAGAUUGGAUAAGAAGCCGCGACCGAGGAUGCAAGCCGUUCCUCGGAUGGAUCUGCUUCGGAGCCCACCGCCGGCCACGCACAUAGCGGAGGCCAGCCUCCACUCGCCGCCGUUCCGUCUCCAAUCAACCCCAGAGUACCGCCAUCUGCAACAGCCGAGCAUGCCAGGUCGCAGGGAGGUGGAUCGAUCAACCAACGUGGUCCUCUUUUUCUAGAAAAAUAUCAUGGUCUUUCCGGUGUUGAGUAAACAACAGCCGAUAGACGGCUUGCUAGAAGUAGCCGAAUAGGCCUAUAAUCCCACGUCAAUCAUGUCCACCUAACCCAUUUACUGAAGGAAAAGAAAGCCCAUUACCUGAUUACCUACCACAACCAGCCAAUCUGCCCGGGUAAAGCACGAGGCGUUGAUGAUUUUUCCCAGUAUAACGGGGCCAUCGUACCUAGCGCGUAGCGAGCGAGCCCGGGCAAGUGCCCAGGGUCGCCGGGCGCUGGCUCCGCCACUGUGUAUAACUAUGAUUCAAAUGUUAAAAGCUGAAGCACCUGCUCGAGCAUGCUAAAGUGCUAAUCAACCAGAACUGUUGGUUGCAAGCCACCAUUAGCAAUUUGGUCCCAGGCGGUGGUCAUUGCUACGACACACGUCAGCCAAAAUGAUGUGCUUUACACUUACAACGACUGAAUCAGAGCAAGCCUCCUGCCAGUUCCACCAGGUAACACUCUGCAGGUUGUCGAAAUAAGAUAGUGCUCUGUAGUGCAUUCCGAUUCAGCUGGGUACCCAGGAGCCCCAUGAACCUGCAGUAAUUUUUCAUCCCAUUGUCGACAAUUACAAGAAGGGACCCAACUUCAAGAGAGGCCAAAUGGUUUCUCCAUACGGCGGAAUAUCACAGUAGCAUUUCCUUGUAAAUUUCAGUGUUGCACUGUUUAAUCAGCUGCUCUCAUUCUAAAAAUUCAGUGAUGGUGGUAACGAGUACAGAGUACAGAGUACAGACACAUGUGCAAAGCUCAGGCAGAAUCAAUGGCUGGGACCGGGAGAUGAUCGUCGUUCCAAGUAGCCUCUUGGAUGGUCAUCGUAAGUACCUUCGCAUUGAAUUCUAGCAGCGAAGCCUCUUCAUUUCGAGCAGUGAUGUAGCCCGUAUUGGUAAACUAGCUCUUUGUGUGUGCUAGUACCUAACGAUCUCAUCCUUGUAUGAUUUGGACAUAUGCUAGAAUUUAUUCACUGCAUCAAGGGGUUAAGCACAGUAGUUUUGGGUUUCUACAGUUCCAAGGGGAUUCAGAGUUCCACCUCUGAGUAUUUGGAUCUUAUCUAACCAUGCUUUGAGAUUUAGAUGUGUUGGGGAAUGGGGAUUGCUAGUUCUUGCUGGGUAAUCAGAAUAAUGUUUGGGUUUUCCUCAAGGAUGUCAGACACUAUUACAGUCUGUUAAAUGCAGAUAAUGCUAUUCAUUUAUGAGAAUUAUUUAUUUACCUAGUGGAUCCCUAAUUGUAUAUCUGUCCCUAUCAAUGCAAAUGCUGAGCCAUGUUCCACUUUUACUGCUCUACGUUAUAUUUUCACUGCUGAAGAGGUUAGUAUGCUCCUUAUCUUUUUCACUAAUUGUCUUUUUCAUCGACAUUCACCGCAUUAUUUUUCCGUGUCAUUCUUCUGAAGAAUCUGAAGUUUCUGAACCUCUGUUGGUAAUGCUGCAGGGUUCUGGUGGCGAUGCCGAUUAUCGUCGAGAGGUUCGUGGACUGCACGGUAUCAUGGCUGCCGAUUUACGGAGAGGCAAAGCUGCUGCUCGUCAUCUACCUAUGGCACACCAGCACACGGGAUUUCAGGGUGCGGGGCACGUGUACGAUGGCUUCCUCCAUCCGCUGGUGUCGUGGCACGAGGCCGACAUCGACCGGGGCCUGCUUGAUUUGAAGGCGAGGGACGUGACGGCGUCACAACUUAAGGCGGUGGCUGCCAUCGGUCAAGUGUGGCUCGUCGAGGCUGCCCGCUGUGUUUCGUCGUAGCUACAUGCCACGAGAUCAGGCCGGGAAGGCGCCACACAUUGACGAGUGAGCCAAUUUUUGGAUCGGACCAUAACAACGUGUCCCAAUCUCUGAUGUCUAGAAGUAGUGGUAAAGUUUUGAAUUUGCAUGGCAAGAACCACUUGCGUCGGUAGCUGACACGCACAACAGUGUGUUUACACUCUUACUUAUGUAAAAGAUAUGUACAAUGAGGAACUGUGAUAGUAGAUACGACAAUUGUGUGAUAGAAUGGAAUUGAUUGAUAUA
This is a long non-coding RNA of Triticum dicoccoides, 2507 nucleotides long. RefSeq lists it as uncharacterized. The record is from RefSeq and is a predicted model, not a curated record. The transcript is spliced from 4 exons. Lineage: Eukaryota; Viridiplantae; Streptophyta; Magnoliopsida; Poales; Poaceae.